GUGUUAAAGAGAACACCCUGGAAGACUCAGAGACAUGGGUCACUGUGUUGAUAAAAGAGUAAUGUGUUUUGAGGGCUAACAACUCAGCAAGGACUGCAGCCUCCUUCUUCCACACCCUCAACAUAAAGGGUCCCCACAGCCUUCCUGAGCAAGGCCCCUCUGACCUGUCAUUCUGGGGGUCAGUAUCCUCAGGAUGGCCUCCACCUCAGAUGGGGCCAGUCCACUCUGAGUGGGGCCUAGGUCUCCAGUGCUCACAAAGUCAGAUGCCACAGAGCCAUGUGGCGUGCACUUGGGAAGACGACAGCCACAAAAUCUCCAGGACGUGCCAGGCCCGGUUGUGAAAGGCACAAAGACCAAGAGAGAAACCCCCAGAGGAGAGAGAGCUGGGUGGGUGAGGGCCAGAGUCAGGACCCCAGCUGGAGGGAGUGGUCUCGCUGGGAAGAAGAGGAUCAUGGGACGAGAUCCUGGGCAGGUGACUUGGCUGUCCUGCAGGUUCAGCUCAGUGACCCACAGGACACACGGGGGUUUAGUGUAAGAUCCCACCAUGGUCAUGUCCUUCUACUUCAGUCGCACCACACUGGUUUCACCAAAUAUGGACUUAAAUCUUAGACAUUCUGUGAUUGAAAGAAAAAUAAAGGGAGCCUUCAGUUCUGACGAUUCUUGCUAAGGUGGAGAGGGGGCCCAGGAAUGCAGUUGCACCAUCAGUGGAAACGAUUUCUUAAGGCUUUACCCCAUCGGAAAUAAUUGAGUGCUUUGCUAGGAAAAACCAAGAAUGUGCUAUGUAAAUUAUUUAAAAUCUGCUACCUCUGCAGAGUUUUCAGUAGUAGAGAUCUAUUUCCUCAAAACAUUUGCCUAAACACUCACAGGGUUCUGACACAUCAUGAGAUUCUUGGAUUUAACACCUUUUGGACAAGACUGGUAAAUGUGAAUAUUCCAUCGAAGUAGAGAAAAAGGAGUGAAGUACAUGUUGAGGUUAGGAUUUAACAUUUAUCCUGCCUUCCUGCCUUCC
Molecule: non-coding RNA, 1009 nt
Organism: Ceratotherium simum simum (southern white rhinoceros)
Lineage: Eukaryota; Metazoa; Chordata; Mammalia; Perissodactyla; Rhinocerotidae
Source: RefSeq, a predicted model, not a curated record